This is a non-coding RNA of Cinara cedri, 203 nucleotides long. The record is from the annotation of a GenBank genome assembly. Lineage: Eukaryota; Metazoa; Arthropoda; Insecta; Hemiptera; Aphididae.
CUAUUUGGGGUCGGUCACUCUCGACCUAAACUUCCACUUGACUCGAUCCCCCAUAUCGUCCUCAAAUACCUCUCCCAAACGGCGUAUCAUUCUCAAACGUAUCCGAGUAUCCGACCACAUGUUUAUCAGCCUUCCUCUCCUCUUAUUUCUUCCUAAAUUUUGUAUUUACUUGAAAAAGAAUGCCAAAUUCUCGGUUUGAAAAA